This 301-nucleotide ribosomal RNA is filed under the name uncultured bacterium. Its description in RNAcentral is "partial 16S ribosomal RNA". It matches the Rfam family "Bacterial small subunit ribosomal RNA", at positions 509 to 807 of the family's 1533-position model. The record is from RNAcentral.
CAGUAGCCACGGUAAUACGAAGGGUGCAAGCGUUAAUCGGAAUUACUGGGCGUAAAGCGUGCGUAGGCGGUUUGUUAAGUCUGUUGUGGAAUCCCCGGGCUCAACCUGGGAAUGGCAAUGGAUACUGGCAAGCUAGAGUGUGUCAGAGGAUGGUGGAAUUCCCGGUGUAGCGGUGAAAUGCGUAGAGAUCGGGAGGAACAUCAGCGGCGAAGGCGGCCAUCUGGGACAACACUGACGCUGAGGCACGAAAGCGUGGGGAGCAAACAGGAUUAGAUACCCCGGUAGUCCCUGUCUCUUAUAC